AUGCUGGCGGUGGCGUCGGUCCUCCUUCCCGGCGCGGCUCCCCUUCUGCCUUCCUUCCUGCCUUCCUUCCCGCCGCCGCCGCCUCACGAACCAAAGACGCGCCUCGCGCUGCCUGAGCGGAACCGGAAGCGCCCGCCGACCGGACGCUCCCCGCCACACUUCCGGUGCCCGGCCCCGCCCCUCGGAGGCGGGGCUCGUUGCCCGGGCGACCGCCCAGCGCGGCGGCUGCGGAGGGGGGCGGAGCUGCGCGGUCUCCAUGGCAGCCGGCGCCGGGCGACGAGGCCCCGCCUCCCCGGCCGGAGAGAGACGGAGCGGAGCGGGCGCCAAUGGGGGACGAGGCGCGCUCCUGAGUGGCGGGCGCAGCUGGCCAAUGGGGCUGGGCGGCCGGGCGGGAGGGGCGGGACGCAGCCGGGUCCGCGGCCGGAGGGAGAGCGGCGUCGGCGGCGGAGCGGAGGGUCCCGGCAGCCGGGUGAGCGCGGGGGGCGGGGAGGGCGGCCGGCCUCGGGGCGGGGGGGGGCGGAGCGGCGACUCUCGGGGCUCCGUUUCCCCCCUCCCCGCCCCCUCGGGGCCCGGCGACUUCAAAGGGAGCCUCCCCCCCCCGGACGCCGCUCUGUGUGUGGGGGGGGACACGGGCGCCCCCUGCUGGGCCUGCGGGACACCGGCCGGCCCCCCAUCUGCGGACAGAGGCCCUCGCGGGCCGCCUCCCCCGCUCCUGCUGCUCUGGGGAGGCCCGUGGGGGGGGGGCUCCUGGAGGCCGCCUGCUGGGAGGAGGGAGGGAGGGAGGGAGGGGGCGACCCCUCCUUUGGCCUGGAGGAGCUGCUCGGCUUCUUCCCCCAACUGGGCGCCCGGCAAGCAUCUCCCCCCCCCCCGCUGGGACCUUCCCAUAAGCCGCAGCUUUGGGGGGGGGACUCCUGCUUUUGCCCCCAGUGGGGCAGCGGCGCCUCCCUGGCCCAUCUGGGUGCCCCAUCUCUGCUCCCCCCUCCCAGGCAGGGUCUGUGGGUGGGAGGGCCUGGGGGGGGGGCGAGAGCGCCUGGUCCUGCGCUGCCCAGACCCCCAGUUCCUGCGGGAGAGGAGGGGGCAGCCCCACGGGCUGCAGGGCCCCCCCCAGGAAUAGCCCCCGAAAUGCCCCCGGGCUUCCUGUCGCCUGGCUCCUCUGCAGAAGGAGGCUGGUUCCUCUUCCCUUCCCAGAAGGAGGCGGCUUCCUCAUGGGCUGCUGCUGCUUUUGCUCUACCAGAACCUGGAUGGGGAGCCACACCCGGACUUGCCUGGGGUGGGCAGCCCCCUGAGCCCCCCCAGUGCAAUGGACAGGUGGGGCGCUGCAGAGGGGCAGUUGGGGGAGAGGCAAAGGAAGGGACUUGGUGUGGGGCAGCUGCCUGGUGGGCUUGCCAGCAUAUGGGGUUUGCCAUGCCUGAUGGAAGCCUCUGCCCAGGCAUUCAGGGCGGGACGUUGGAGAAAGAGCCAGCAGAAUGCAUGCAUGUGGGCAUCCGGAACAGAUGCAGCGCUAGCUAA
This 1509-nucleotide long non-coding RNA is filed under the name Podarcis muralis (Common wall lizard). Its description in RNAcentral is "lncRNA (ENSPMRG00000009486.1)". The record is from RNAcentral. Lineage: Eukaryota; Metazoa; Chordata; Lepidosauria; Squamata; Lacertidae.